Molecule: ribosomal RNA, 462 nt
Filed under: uncultured bacterium
Lineage: Bacteria
Description: partial 16S ribosomal RNA
Rfam family: Bacterial small subunit ribosomal RNA
Source: RNAcentral
GAUAAACGCUGGCGGCGUGCUUAACACAUGCAAGUCGAACGAAGAGUUGCUUUCGUUAGUAACUUAGUGUCGGAGGGGGGAGGAACGCGUGGGUAACCUGCCCUGAACUGUGGGACAACGGCUACAAACGGCAGCCAAUGCCGCAUAAGCCCUUAGUACUGCAUGGUGCAGAUGGAAAAGGAGCAAUCCGUUACAGGUUGGACCUACAUCGGAUUACCCAGUUGGCAGGGUAACGUACUACAAAAGCGACGAUCAGUAGCCGGUCAGAGAGGAUGUACGGACACAUUGGGACUGAGACACGGCCGAGACUCCUACGGGAGGCAGCAGUGGGGAAUAUUGCACAAUGGAGGAAACUAUGAUGCAGCGACGACGCGUGAGUGAAGAAGUAUUUCGGUAUGUAAAGCGUAAUCAGCAGGAAAGAAAAUGACGGUACCUGACUAAGAAGCCCCGGCUAAAUACGUG